UACAGAGGGCGCGAGCGUUGUCCGGAAUCACUGGGCGUAAAGGGCGCGUAGGUGGCCAGCAUAAGGCCGUGGUGAAAGUCCGGAGCUCAACUCCGGAUCUGCCGCGGCGACUGUGCGGCUUGGGCACUGUAGAGGCAGAUGGAAUUCCGGGUGUAGCGGUGGAAUGCGUAGAGAUGUGGAGGAACACCGAUGGCGAAGGCAGCCUUCUGGGCCAACACUGACGCUCAUGCACGAAAGCGUGGGGAGCAAACAGG
Molecule: ribosomal RNA, 254 nt
Filed under: uncultured bacterium
Lineage: Bacteria
Description: partial 16S ribosomal RNA
Rfam family: Bacterial small subunit ribosomal RNA
Source: RNAcentral